RNAcentral lists this ribosomal RNA (2923 nucleotides) under Klebsiella pneumoniae. Its description in RNAcentral is "bacterial LSU rRNA". It matches the Rfam family "Bacterial large subunit ribosomal RNA". Lineage: Bacteria; Pseudomonadati; Pseudomonadota; Gammaproteobacteria; Enterobacterales; Enterobacteriaceae. The record is from RNAcentral.
GGGUUGUGAGGUUAAGCGACUAAGCGUACACGGUGGAUGCCCUGGCAGUCAGAGGCGAUGAAGGACGUGCUAAUCUGCGAAAAGCGUCGGUAAGGUGAUAUGAACCGUUAUAACCGGCGAUGUCCGAAUGGGGAAACCCAGUGCAAUUCGUUGCACUAUCGUUAACUGAAUACAUAGGUUAACGAGGCGAACCGGGGGAACUGAAACAUCUAAGUACCCCGAGGAAAAGAAAUCAACCGAGAUUCCCCCAGUAGCGGCGAGCGAACGGGGAGCAGCCCAGAGUCUGAAUCAGCUUGUGUGUUAGUGGAACGGUCUGGAAAGUCCGACGGUACAGGGUGAUAGUCCCGUACACCAAAAUGCACAGGCUGUGAACUCGAAGAGUAGGGCGGGACACGUGGUAUCCUGUCUGAAUAUGGGGGGACCAUCCUCCAAGGCUAAAUACUCCUGACUGACCGAUAGUGAACCAGUACCGUGAGGGAAAGGCGAAAAGAACCCCGGCGAGGGGAGUGAAAAAGAACCUGAAACCGUGUACGUACAAGCAGUGGGAGCACCUUCGGGUGUGACUGCGUACCUUUUGUAUAAUGGGUCAGCGACUUAUAUUCUGUAGCAAGGUUAACCGUAUAGGGGAGCCGCAGGGAAACCGAGUCUUAACUGGGCGUUAAGUUGCAGGGUAUAGACCCGAAACCCGGUGAUCUAGCCAUGGGCAGGUUGAAGGUUGGGUAACACUAACUGGAGGACCGAACCGACUAAUGUUGAAAAAUUAGCGGAUGACUUGUGGCUGGGGGUGAAAGGCCAAUCAAACCGGGAGAUAGCUGGUUCUCCCCGAAAGCUAUUUAGGUAGCGCCUCGUGAAUUCAUCUUCGGGGGUAGAGCACUGUUUCGGCUAGGGGGUCAUCCCGACUUACCAACCCGAUGCAAACUACGAAUACCGAAGAAUGUUAUCACGGGAGACACACGGCGGGUGCUAACGUCCGUCGUGAAGAGGGAAACAACCCAGACCGCCAGCUAAGGUCCCAAAGUCAUGGUUAAGUGGGAAACGAUGUGGGAAGGCACAGACAGCCAGGAUGUUGGCUUAGAAGCAGCCAUCAUUUAAAGAAAGCGUAAUAGCUCACUGGUCGAGUCGGCCUGCGCGGAAGAUGUAACGGGGCUAAACCAUGCACCGAAGCUGCGGCAGCGACACUAUGUGUUGUUGGGUAGGGGAGCGUUCUGUAAGCCUGCGAAGGUGACCUGUGAGGGUUGCUGGAGGUAUCAGAAGUGCGAAUGCUGACAUAAGUAACGAUAAAGCGGGUGAAAAGCCCGCUCGCCGGAAGACCAAGGGUUCCUGUCCAACGUUAAUCGGGGCAGGGUGAGUCGACCCCUAAGGCGAGGCCGAAAGGCGUAGUCGAUGGGAAACAGGUUAAUAUUCCUGUACUUGGUGUUACUGCGAAGGGGGGACGGAGAAGGCUAUGUUAGCCGGGCGACGGUUGUCCCGGUUUAAGCAUGUAGGCUGAUUGUCCAGGCAAAUCCGGAUAAUCAAGGCUGAGGUGUGAUGACGAGGCACUACGGUGCUGAAGUAACAAAUGCCCUGCUUCCAGGAAAAGCCUCUAAGCAUCAGGUAACAUCAAAUCGUACCCCAAACCGACACAGGUGGUCAGGUAGAGAAUACCAAGGCGCUUGAGAGAACUCGGGUGAAGGAACUAGGCAAAAUGGUGCCGUAACUUCGGGAGAAGGCACGCUGGUGUGUAGGUGAAGCCCCUGCGGGUGGAGCUGAGACCAGUCGAAGAUACCAGCUGGCUGCAACUGUUUAUUAAAAACACAGCACUGUGCAAACACGAAAGUGGACGUAUACGGUGUGACGCCUGCCCGGUGCCGGAAGGUUAAUUGAUGGGGUUAUCCGUAAGGAGAAGCUCUUGAUCGAAGCCCCGGUAAACGGCGGCCGUAACUAUAACGGUCCUAAGGUAGCGAAAUUCCUUGUCGGGUAAGUUCCGACCUGCACGAAUGGCGUAAUGAUGGCCAGGCUGUCUCCACCCGAGACUCAGUGAAAUUGAACUCGCUGUGAAGAUGCAGUGUACCCGCGGCAAGACGGAAAGACCCCGUGAACCUUUACUAUAGCUUGACACUGAACAUUGAGCCUUGAUGUGUAGGAUAGGUGGGAGGCUUUGAAGCGUGGACGCCAGUCUGCGUGGAGCCAACCUUGAAAUACCACCCUUUAAUGUUUGAUGUUCUAACGUUGGCCCCUUACCGGGGUUGCGGACAGUGUCUGGUGGGUAGUUUGACUGGGGCGGUCUCCUCCCAAAGCGUAACGGAGGAGCACGAAGGUUAGCUAAUCCUGGUCGGACAUCAGGAGGUUAGUGCAAUGGCAUAAGCUAGCUUGACUGCGAGCGUGACGGCGCGAGCAGGUGCGAAAGCAGGUCAUAGUGAUCCGGUGGUUCUGAAUGGAAGGGCCAUCGCUCAACGGAUAAAAGGUACUCCGGGGAUAACAGGCUGAUACCGCCCAAGAGUUCAUAUCGACGGCGGUGUUUGGCACCUCGAUGUCGGCUCAUCACAUCCUGGGGCUGAAGUAGGUCCCAAGGGUAUGGCUGUUCGCCAUUUAAAGUGGUACGCGAGCUGGGUUUAGAACGUCGUGAGACAGUUCGGUCCCUAUCUGCCGUGGGCGCUGGAGAAUUGAGGGGGGCUGCUCCUAGUACGAGAGGACCGGAGUGGACGCAUCACUGGUGUUCGGGUUGUCAUGCCAAUGGCACUGCCCGGUAGCUAAAUGCGGAAGAGAUAAGUGCUGAAAGCAUCUAAGCACGAAACUUGCCCCGAGAUGAGUUCUCCCUGAGACUUUAAGUCUCCUGAAGGAACGUUAAAGACGAUGACGUUGAUAGGCCGGGUGUGUAAGCGCAGCGAUGCGUUGAGCUAACCGGUACUAAUGAACCGUGAGGCUUAACCUUACAACGCCGAAG